GACGGAGGGGGCUAGCGUUGUUCGGAAUUACUGGGCGUAAAGAGCGCGUAGGCGGACUAGUAAGUUGGGAGUGAAAUCCCAAGGCUUAACCUUGGAAUAGCUUUCAAAACUGCCAGUCUUGAGUGAAGCAGGGGAUGAUGGAAUUCCUAGUGUAGAGGUGAAAUUCUUAGAUAUUAGGAGGAACACCGAUGGCGAAGGCAGUCAUCUGGGCUUUAACUGACGCUGAUGCGCGAAAGCGUGGGGAGCAAACAGG
RNAcentral lists this ribosomal RNA (253 nucleotides) under uncultured bacterium. RNAcentral's name for it is "partial 16S ribosomal RNA". It matches the Rfam family "Bacterial small subunit ribosomal RNA", at positions 524 to 776 of the family's 1533-position model. The record is from RNAcentral.